GUAGGUGGCAAGCGUUGUCCGGAAUUAUUGGGCGUAAAGCGCGCGCAGGCGGUUCUUUAAGUCUGAUGUGAAAGCCCACGGCUCAACCGUGGAGGGUCAUUGGAAACUGGAGAACUUGAGUACAGAAGAGGAAAGCGGAAUUCCACGUGUAGCGGUGAAAUGCGUAGAGAUGUGGAGGAACACCAGUGGCGAAGGCGGCUUUCUGGUCUGUAACUGACGCUGAGGCGCGAAAGCGUGGGGAGCAAACAGGGAUUAGAUACCCUGGUAGUCCACGCCGUAAACGAUGAGUGCUAAGUGUUAGGGGGUUUCCGCCCCCUUAGUGCUGCAGCCAGCGCAUUAAGCACUCCGCCUGGGAGUACGGCCGCAAGGCUG
This 372-nucleotide ribosomal RNA is filed under the name uncultured organism. Its description in RNAcentral is "partial 16S ribosomal RNA". It matches the Rfam family "Bacterial small subunit ribosomal RNA", at positions 527 to 896 of the family's 1533-position model. The record is from RNAcentral.